CUGGCUCAGGACGAACGCUGGCGGCGUGCUUAACACAUGCAAGUCGAGCGGAGAAUAUAGCAAUAUAUUCUUAGCGGCGGACGGGUGAGUAACGCGUGGGUAACCUGCCUUUUACUGGGGGAUAACACUGGGAAACUAGUGCUAAUACCGCAUAAAAUAGUGAAGUGGCAUCACUUUACUAUCAAAGGAGCAAUCCGGUAAAAGAUGGACCCGCGUCCGAUUAGCUAGUUGGAGGGUAACGGCCCACCAAGGCGACGAUCGGUAGCCGAACUGAGAGGUUGAUCGGCCACAUUGGGACUGAGACACGGCCCAGACUCCUACGGGAGGCAGCAGUGGGGAAUAUUGCGCAAAGUGGGGGAAACCCUGACGCAGCAACGCCGCGUGAAGGAUGAAGGUUUUCGGAUUGUAAACUUCUUUGAUUGGGGACGAUAAUGACGGUACCCAAAAAACAAGCCACGGCUAACUACGUGCCAGCCGCUGC
Molecule: ribosomal RNA, 481 nt
Filed under: uncultured bacterium
Lineage: Bacteria
Description: bacterial SSU rRNA
Rfam family: Bacterial small subunit ribosomal RNA
Source: RNAcentral